Molecule: ribosomal RNA, 301 nt
Filed under: uncultured bacterium
Lineage: Bacteria
Description: partial 16S ribosomal RNA
Rfam family: Bacterial small subunit ribosomal RNA
Source: RNAcentral
CAGUAGCCGCGGGAAUACGUAGGUGGCAAGCGUUGUCCGGAAUUAUUGGGCGUAAAGGGCUCGCAGGCGGUUUCUUAAGUCUGAUGUGAAGGCCCCCGGCUCAACCGGGGAGGGUCAUUGGAAACUGGGAAACUUGAGUGCAGAAGAGGAGAGUGGAAUUCCACGUGUAGCGGUGAAAUGCGUAGAGAUGUGGAGGAACACCAGUGGCGAAGGCGACUCUCUGGUCUGUAACUGACGCUGAGGAGCGAAAGCGUGGGGAGCGAACAGGAUUAGAUACCCCAGUAGUCCCUGUCUCUUAUAU